Molecule: long non-coding RNA, 442 nt
Organism: Amphiprion ocellaris (clown anemonefish)
Lineage: Eukaryota; Metazoa; Chordata; Actinopteri; Pomacentridae
Exons: 2
Source: RefSeq, a predicted model, not a curated record
AGCAAACAACACCAAUCUAAAUACUGCAUACUGUGAGACAAAACAAGCACACAAUAUAAAUAUAAUAUAUUAAAUCUACAGUUUGAAUAACGGGGGAAAGGUGAAAGAAGAGGAAGAAAUAGAAGCAGCUGCUUCUGAUUGGCGCAGACGGGACACGUGACCAGCCUCACUUGCAUAUCGAACGUGCAGGUGAGCGUGGGAAGGAGAAAGCAGUUUCAGAUAUGCGGCCCACACGUCCACAUCCAACUGCUGGAUAGGGACUUAUGUCGGUUUACCGGAGAAUGUCGCUUUGAAACGGGAGUCACCGGAGUUCGUCUCACCUGGACGCUCAGUAACCGACAGAUGUUCCACUCCUAUUUGCAUCUCACUGAAGCCAUCUUGGUCCAGAUGUGAGAGCACAAGCUGUGCAGAUCAGAUCGAUACUUUCUGUUCCUCAGGGAGG